GACGAACGCUGGCGGCGUGCCUAAUACAUGCAAGUAGAACGCUGAAGAGAGGAGCUUGCUCUUCUUGGAUGAGUUGCGAACGGGUGAGUAACGCGUAGGUAACCUGCCUUGUAGCGGGGGAUAACUAUUGGAAACGAUAGCUAAUACCGCAUAACAAUGGAUGACACAUGUCAUUUAUUUGAAAGGGGCAAUUGCUCCACUACAAGAUGGACCUGCGUUGUAUUAGCUAGUAGGUGAGGUAAUGGCUCACCUAGGUGACGAUACAUAGCCGACCUGAGAGGGUGAUCGGCCACACUGGGACUGAGACACGGCCCAGACUCCUACGGGAGGCAGCAGUAGGGAAUCUUCGGCAAUGGGGGCAACCCUGACCGAGCAACGCCGCGUGAGUGAAGAAGGUUUUCGGAUCGUAAAGCUCUGUUGUAAGUCAAGAACGGGUGUGAGAGUGGAAAGUUCACACUGUGACGGUAGCUUACCAGAAAGGGACGGCUAACUACGUG
Molecule: ribosomal RNA, 497 nt
Filed under: uncultured bacterium
Lineage: Bacteria
Description: partial 16S ribosomal RNA
Rfam family: Bacterial small subunit ribosomal RNA
Source: RNAcentral